AGUGGGCUCCGUGAGGCGGAGCCGUGAAUCGGGUCAGGCCUUAACCGGAGCAGCCCUAAGCGGGGUACGUUUGUGCGGAGCCCUCUUGA
RNAcentral lists this signal recognition particle RNA (89 nucleotides) under Pirellulaceae bacterium. Its description in RNAcentral is "signal recognition particle sRNA small type". It matches the Rfam family "Bacterial small signal recognition particle RNA". From Rfam's summary of the family: The signal recognition particle (SRP) is a universally conserved ribonucleoprotein involved in the co-translational targeting of proteins to membranes. Archaeal SRP consists of a 7S RNA and homologues of the eukaryotic SRP19 and SRP54 proteins. Lineage: Bacteria; Pseudomonadati; Planctomycetota; Planctomycetia; Pirellulales; Pirellulaceae. The record is from RNAcentral.